UACGGGGGGAGCAAGCGUUGUUCGGAAUUACUGGGUGUAAAGCGCGCGUAGGCGGGAGGCCAAGUCCGCUGUGAAAUCGCCCGGCUCAACUGGGCGCGGUCGGUGGAAACUGGUCACCUGGAGGACGGUAGAGGCGAGUGGAAUUCCCGGUGUAGUGGUGAAAUGCGUAGAGAUCGGGAGGAACACCAGUGGCGAAGGCGGCUCGCUGGGCCGGCCCUGACGCUGAGGCGCGAAGGCGUGGGGAGCGAACGGG
This 253-nucleotide ribosomal RNA is filed under the name uncultured bacterium. RNAcentral's name for it is "partial 16S ribosomal RNA". It matches the Rfam family "Bacterial small subunit ribosomal RNA", at positions 524 to 776 of the family's 1533-position model. The record is from RNAcentral.